UACAGAGGUGGCAAGCGUUGUUCGGAAUUACUGGGCGUAAAGGGCGCGUAGGUGGCCAUCUAAGUCAGACGUGAAAUCCCCAGGCUUAACCUGGGAACUGCGUGUGAUACUGGAUGGCUUGAGUUCGGGAGAGGGAUGCGGAAUUCCAGGUGUAGCGGUGAAAUGCGUAGAUAUCUGGAGGAACACCGGUGGCGAAGGCGGCAUCCUGGACCGACACUGACACUGAGGAGCGAAAGCCAGGGGAGCAAACGGG
Molecule: ribosomal RNA, 253 nt
Filed under: uncultured bacterium
Lineage: Bacteria
Description: partial 16S ribosomal RNA
Rfam family: Bacterial small subunit ribosomal RNA
Source: RNAcentral